UCCUGAACCUUAGGGAGAAAAACCCCACAC
This 30-nucleotide non-coding RNA is filed under the name Rattus norvegicus (Norway rat). Lineage: Eukaryota; Metazoa; Chordata; Mammalia; Rodentia; Muridae. The record is from RNAcentral.